Camelus dromedarius (Arabian camel) is the source of this 1173-nucleotide long non-coding RNA. RefSeq annotates it as negative regulator of P-body association. The transcript is spliced from 4 exons. Lineage: Eukaryota; Metazoa; Chordata; Mammalia; Artiodactyla; Camelidae. The record is from RefSeq and is a predicted model, not a curated record.
GGAUAUACGUCUCAGGAUACAGGAAAUACGGAAAGAGCGAAACCGGGAGGAAGUUCAGUGCCUGGAGGGGAUCCGCCGCCAUCUCAGGUCUUUUGGCCUCGCCGGGGUCCACCAGAGAGAGCUGUCGCCCGGAUCCUAUAAUCCUUAUGGGGGAUCAGCCUUGUACCUCCGGGAGAUCCACGCUCCCAGCUGGAAACACGCGGGAAACUAAACCUCCAAAAAAGCGCUGCCUCCUAGCUCCACGGUGGGAUUAUCCAGAAGGAACCCCCAACGGAGGUAGUACCCCUCUCCCUUCGGCACCUCCUCCUGCAUCACCGGGCCUGAAGUCGCACCCACCUCCUCCAGAGAAGUAGUACAAUAUACUUCUCCCACCCCAAACCAGUCUUUGAAGGAUUGCAAUAUGACUCCAUUUCCUUGAUGCAUUCAUAAAAUAGUUCACUCAGCGAAGACAAUGAAGAUUAUUGACAAUGCUACCCUGCUUUUACUGAUGUCCUGCACUGGGAAGUUGUGAUUUUUAAGUUUCAGAGCUUCCAAAUCAAUGUGUCAACUCCUCCAAGCCUCCAAAGUCAGCCAUGACACCACCACACUUGACCCGCAAAAAAGUCUUAUGAUAUAAUCAGCGAAAUUUCACCACCUGAAUUUGGAUGAAUUCUGGGACAUGACCAAUAUCAGUCUGUAGACUUCUAAGAUUGAAGGCCCUGGCCUGGAUCAUGGUGAAUUCACCAAAGCAAAUAAUGCCUGUGAGAUGGUCCUGCAACAGCCAAUCAGUUCUCUCCUUUGGUGACAUGCAGUCCUUGCUGUAUAAGUUUGAACUCCUAUAAAUCCAUUAAGGUUGUAAUAAACUGUUUCUCUCAUUGCUGUUAGUUCUAUAUGACUACUAUCUAGUAAAUUGUGAAUUUUUAGUAAAUAUUUCUUAAUAAUUCAAAAUACAAAAUAUUCCUAAAACUGGCAUCAAAGUAUGAAAUUCUUCCUACAAACGGCCAUUCACUCAUUCUUUAUAGUGUGAUAAUAUCAGGAAAGUUGGGGUGUGGUGAGGCAUAAGGGAAAAAAAUACAAAAAAUAAUUAGGUUCCCAGCAUAUUCUCUUUACUUUAAAGUCAGUUUUUCCAUAGUAUUUAUUCUAUGGUAUCCCUUAUUCUUUUACAUGUUAACUGUUUUCCUGGUCAUGAUGGUU